AUUGAACGCUGGCGGCAGGCUUAACACAUGCAAGUCGAACGAGUAGCGGACGGGUGAGUAGUGCUUGGGAAUCUAGCUGAUGUCGGUGGAUAACUACGGGAAACUGUCGCUAAUACCGCGUACCAUAGGAUGAGCCCAAGGGGGAUUAGGUAGUUGGUGAGGUAAAGGCUCACAAGGCCGACGAGCUCUAGCUGGGCUGAGAGGAUGACCAGCGAAACGGGGAAUGAGACACGGCCGAGACUCCUACGGGAGGCAGCAGUGGGGAAUAUGGCGCAAUGGGGGCAACCUGACGAAGCCAUGCCGCGGGAAUGAAGAAGGCGUUCGGGUUGUAAAGUUCUUUCGGUAGCGAGGCGUUAACUACAGAAGAAGCACCGGCUAACUCCGUGCCAGCAGCCGCGGUAAUAC
Molecule: ribosomal RNA, 405 nt
Filed under: uncultured bacterium
Lineage: Bacteria
Description: partial 16S ribosomal RNA
Rfam family: Bacterial small subunit ribosomal RNA
Source: RNAcentral